CGCAUCUGUGCAUGCAGCAUAUCAAUAAGCGGAGGAAAAGAAACUAACAAGGAUUCCCUUAGUAACGGCGAGUGAAGCGGGAAGAGCUCAAAUUUGAAAUCUUCAAGGUUUUACCUUGACGAAUUGUAGUUUAAAGAAGUGUUUUCUGUUGAAGUUUUGGUAAAAGUUCUUUGGAAUAGGACAGUCAUAGAGGGUGAGAAUCCCGUAUUUGACCAUUAUUUUCAGCUGUGUGAUACACUUUCAAAGAGUCGGAUUGUUUGGGAAUGCAGUCCAAAAUGGGUGGUAAAUUUCAUCUAAAGCUAAAUAUUGGCGAGAGACCGAUAGCGAACAAGUACCGUGAGGGAAAGAUGAAAAGAACUUUGAAAAGAGAGUUAAACAGUACGUGAAAUUGUCAAAAGGGAAGCGUUUGACACCAGUGUUGUUUUCUCGAAAAUCAAUUAAAAAGAGUUAGAUUUUGUUGUGUAUUGACCUUAACAGCUUGCAUUUCUAAUUUUCUUGCUUUUUUUAAUGCACUUUUCGUUUAACAAGUCAACAUCAGUUUCUUUUGUUGUAAAAAGGUCAUUGGAAGGUGGCUUUCUUUUCGGAGAAAGUGUUUAUAGCCUUUGACUCCUGCAAUCGGAGAGACUGAGGUCUGCAGCGUAGAUCCUUCGGGGUUAGAUACAUUUGUGCUAAGUUAUAGCUUUUCAUAGACAACUUGUUGACUAUGAUUAGUCUUGUAGACUUACUCGCUUAUGCUAUUUUACCUACGCUUAGGAUGUUGACGCGCGUGUGUGCGUG
Molecule: ribosomal RNA, 777 nt
Filed under: uncultured Neocallimastigales
Lineage: Eukaryota; Fungi; Neocallimastigomycota; Neocallimastigomycetes; Neocallimastigales
Description: partial large subunit ribosomal RNA
Rfam family: Eukaryotic large subunit ribosomal RNA
Source: RNAcentral